RNAcentral lists this transfer RNA (58 nucleotides) under Apaloderma vittatum (bar-tailed trogon). It matches the Rfam family "tRNA", at positions 8 to 63 of the family's 71-position model. Rfam says of the family: Transfer RNA (tRNA) molecules are approximately 80 nucleotides in length. Their secondary structure includes four short double-helical elements and three loops (D, anti-codon, and T loops). The record is from Rfam by way of RNAcentral. Lineage: Eukaryota; Metazoa; Chordata; Aves; Trogoniformes; Trogonidae.
UAGCUCAGGCAGUAGAGCGUAGCGCUAACAACACUAAGGUCGCGGGUUCGAUUCCCGU